This 450-nucleotide ribosomal RNA is filed under the name uncultured bacterium. RNAcentral describes it as "partial 16S ribosomal RNA". It matches the Rfam family "Bacterial small subunit ribosomal RNA", at positions 354 to 796 of the family's 1533-position model. The record is from RNAcentral.
GUGGGGAAUAUUGGACAAUGGGCGAAAGCCUGAUCCAGCCAUGCCGCGUGUGUGAAGAAAGUCUUCGGAUUGUAAAGCACUUUAAGUUGGGAGGAAGGGCAGUAAGUUAAUACCUUGCUGUUUUGACGUUACCGACAGAAUAAGCUCCGGCUAACUUCGUGCCAGCAGCCGCGGUAAUACGAAGGGUGCAAGCGUUAAUCGGAAUUACUGGGCGUAAAGCGCGCGUAGGUGGUUUUGUAAGUUGGAGGUGAAAUCCCCGGGCUCAACCUGGGAACUGCCUCCAAAACUACUGAGCUAGAGUACGGUAGAGGGUAGUGGAAUUUCCUGUGUAGCGGUGAAAUGCGUAGAUAUAGGAAGGAACACCAGUGGCGAAGGCGACUACCUGGACUGAUACUGACACUGAGGUGCGAAAGCGUGGGGAGCAAACAGGAUUAGAAACCCUUGUAGUCC